GCCGGGUGCAGUGGCGUGCACCUGUAGUCCUAGCUACUUGGGAGGCUGAGGCAGAAGGAUUACUUAAGCCCAGGAAUUUGAGUCUAGCCUGGGCAACAUAGUGAGACCCUAUCUCUU
This 117-nucleotide non-coding RNA is filed under the name Chlorocebus sabaeus (green monkey). The record is from Rfam by way of RNAcentral. Lineage: Eukaryota; Metazoa; Chordata; Mammalia; Primates; Cercopithecidae.